This 320-nucleotide unclassified non-coding RNA is filed under the name Hevea brasiliensis (rubber tree). Lineage: Eukaryota; Viridiplantae; Streptophyta; Magnoliopsida; Malpighiales; Euphorbiaceae. The record is from RNAcentral.
AAAAAUAAAAAAUAAAAAAAAUAUUUUAGACAAAAAUUUGGCACUAUCAUAAAACGAACAGAAAUAACAAUAUCACAUUGUCCAUUUGCAUUUGAUUUGAUAAGACACAACUCAAAGCUUUUUAAAAGGCUCCAUAUAAGGUGAUAUAAGAAUUUUAUCAGGGGCAUUUUCAUUCUGAAUCCAGUCAAGCAAUGAAUACAAAGGCAACAAGUUUGUAAGUUCCUAAAGCUGAGAUCAGCACAGCAUCUAAACCAGGAUAAAAGCCUUUAACAAUCAAGUUAGUACUUGAGGACUUACAGCUUCCAUUAGCAUUUGAAGAU